UAACUGAAGAGUUUGAUCAUGGCUCAGAUUGAACGCUGGCGGCAGGCUUAACACAUGCAAGUCGAGCGGGGGAAGGUAGCUUGCUACCGGAC
This 92-nucleotide ribosomal RNA is filed under the name Acinetobacter baumannii. RNAcentral's name for it is "partial 16S ribosomal RNA". It matches the Rfam family "Bacterial small subunit ribosomal RNA", at positions 1 to 91 of the family's 1533-position model. The record is from RNAcentral. Lineage: Bacteria; Pseudomonadati; Pseudomonadota; Gammaproteobacteria; Moraxellales; Moraxellaceae.